This 248-nucleotide ribosomal RNA is filed under the name uncultured bacterium. RNAcentral's name for it is "partial 16S ribosomal RNA". It matches the Rfam family "Bacterial small subunit ribosomal RNA", at positions 524 to 775 of the family's 1533-position model. The record is from RNAcentral.
UACGGAGGGUGCAAGCGUUAUCCGGAUUCACUGGGUUUAAAGGGUGCGUAGGUGGACAGGUAAGUCAGUGGUGAAAUCCCCGAGCUUAACUCGGGAACUGCCGUUGAUACUAUCUGUCUUGAAUAUCGCGGAGGUAAGCGGAAUAUGUCAUGUAGCGGUGAAAUGCUUAGAUAUGACAUAGAACACCGAUUGCGAAGCAGCCUACUACACGAUCAUUGACACUGAGGCACGAAGCGUGGGAGCAACAG